RNAcentral lists this ribosomal RNA (429 nucleotides) under Gemmatimonadota bacterium. Its description in RNAcentral is "Gemmatimonadetes bacterium partial 16S ribosomal RNA". It matches the Rfam family "Bacterial small subunit ribosomal RNA", at positions 355 to 776 of the family's 1533-position model. Lineage: Bacteria; Pseudomonadati; Gemmatimonadota. The record is from RNAcentral.
UAGGGAAUCUUCGGCAAUGGACGAAAGUCUGACCGAGCAACGCCGCGUGAGUGAAGAAGGUUUUCAGAUCGUAAAACUCUGUUGUUAGAGAAGAACAAGGACGUUAGUAACUGAACGUCCCCUGACGGUAUCUAACCAGAAAGCCACGGCUAACUACGUGCCAGCAGCCGCGGUAAUACGUAGGUGGCAAGCGUUGUCCGGAUUUAUUGGGCGUAAAGCGAGCGCAGGCGGUUUCUUAAGUCUGAUGUGAAAGCCCCCGGCUCAACCGGGGAGGGUCAUUGGAAACUGGGAGACUUGAGUGCAGAAGAGGAGAGUGGAAUUCCAUGUGUAGCGGUGAAAUGCGUAGAUAUAUGGAGGAACACCAGUGGCGAAGUCGGCUCUCUGGUCUGUAACUGACGCUGAGGCUCGAAAGCGUGGGGAGCAAACAGG